UGUCCCUCAGAGAUACGUGCCAACCCAUGGCUUUUCCAACUUCCUGAAGUUCAUCCAUAACAGCAAGAGAAUCACGGAUGUAUAUCCGUCCACCAGGUCUUAAUAACCGAUCCAUUUCAAGCAUGAUUGUGGAUAUUUUGCAUCUGAAACACGCGGAUGUAUAUCUGUCCACCAGGUCUUAAUAACCGAUCCAUUUCAAGCAUGAUUGUGGAUAUGUUGCAUCUGAAACACCAAAAUCAAACAGAGUCAUGGUAACAUGUUCUUCAUAUGCUACUUUAAAGAAAGCCCAACUUCACUACAAUGAGACCCCAUGAACUUGGAGUCGGACCACAAUGUUGUAUUGGAGCAAAUAUUAAAAAAGUUAAUAGUGC
Molecule: long non-coding RNA, 371 nt
Filed under: Nicotiana benthamiana
Lineage: Eukaryota; Viridiplantae; Streptophyta; Magnoliopsida; Solanales; Solanaceae
Description: long non-coding RNA (NBEN_LNC042065)
Source: RNAcentral